AGAGGAUGCAAGGGCCCCAUGGGAUUGGUCUCCGCCUUUGGGGCUCAUUAGUCACCAGGUGCACUUUGUCAGCAUCGCGAUAACCCAGAAGAGAACAUGUGUAGAUGGCCUCUAUGAAGCUCUUUUGCUUGUCAGCAGCUGGUCAAAGUUAGCAGAAAUGGGAGGAAGCGAACUCAACCAACAAAAGAGAACUGAGCGAUUCAUCCCGGGACUCUGCUCUCUCCGUUUUUCCCCCUGUUGAACUGAAAGCAACGCUAGUCCUGAACGGAUGAAUGAGCAGAAGUAAAAGGAAGAGAAGGAGGAGAAGGAGGAAGAGAAAAAGAAGAAUGUGAGGAAAGUCCAGAAUCCCUAUAAAUCAAGACAUAAAAAAGCGUUUUUGUAAAUCUCA
Molecule: non-coding RNA, 388 nt
Filed under: Pongo abelii (Sumatran orangutan)
Lineage: Eukaryota; Metazoa; Chordata; Mammalia; Primates; Hominidae
Source: RNAcentral